GUGAGUGUUAGAAUGACUGAAUCUGGGGUGACCUGUCUUUAAACAUGCUGAGAUGGGGUAACAGUUUGCAGUGAUUCCUCCAAGGACUCUCCAAGGCUGCAGGUAUAUACAUUUAUAUUUAUUUCUUUAUCUCGAAUUCCUCACAUUGCCAAGACCAAAGAGGUUCACAGUCUUCUUGCACUCAGUAUGAACUCAAUAUCUGUUUGCUGUUAAAUGCACACACAUGAAUUUGUCCUGUGUUUUAG
Molecule: long non-coding RNA, 245 nt
Filed under: Sus scrofa (pig)
Lineage: Eukaryota; Metazoa; Chordata; Mammalia; Artiodactyla; Suidae
Description: lncRNA (ENSSSCG00070016511.1)
Source: RNAcentral